RNAcentral lists this long non-coding RNA (941 nucleotides) under Columba livia (rock pigeon). RNAcentral's name for it is "partial uncharacterized LOC102097175". The record is from RNAcentral. Lineage: Eukaryota; Metazoa; Chordata; Aves; Columbiformes; Columbidae.
AUUUAAGGGGGCGGGAUCCAUAGAUCAAGCAGGAGAAAAGAUCCCGCCCUGCAGGAGCAGGGACAGCCCUUCCUCCUCUCGCGCCCCCCCUCCUCUUCCAACAUGUCACUUUCUUUCAUUCCCGAGGAACGACGGAAUCGCAGGUUUUCGCCAAGAGAAGUCCUCACUGUAGCUGGACGGAGGGGAGCCUGGACCCCCGGCCCGGGCGGCUGCAGCUGCUCCCCGCCGGCUGCUUUGCAAGUUCGAAGAUGCGUACCAACAAUUGAAGACUCCUCCUGAUAGCAGUUGCUUGCGUCUUCAUUUCUCAGACAGGAGCUAUUUAAACCAAGGCUUAGAGUUAUAGUUAUGAUGCACAGUCUUCAGCCAGAAGUGUUACUCAGACAUAGUUAGAGGAUUUGGGCCAUUUGAGCCUUCCUAAGAACGACAACCCCCCUGGAGCUCCUCAUUGCCUGCAGGUUCAUGGCAGACGUGAGGUGAUGUGCACGUGGACAGCUCAUCUUGUAUGCCUGAAGAUACAGCAGCUCUGCUAAGGAGAAAAAAGGCCCCUGGGCCAGGAGUCAGCAGUUGUCAAGAUUUGACAUGCUUCUACUGAGAGCAUCAGGAGGGAUCCAGUCACUACCUCUCUGCUGCUUUUGCAGCCUUGUAACGGUUCUGACCAAGAACUCUCCCCAAGCCACUUUCCUACAAAACACAAGAAAUGAAAGAGGAGCUUCUGCAUUGCUUGAACACAGAAGAACUGUGCCAUGUUAGGGCCAUUUCAUGCCAUCUACAGGGCAUGCCAACGGUGACCAUUCAACAGUGAUGAGACAUCACAGACUCUCUCUUAUCUCGGUUUGCAUUGUGUCACACAUGCCACUGGAGUGUAUGAGGACUGGGAACAGAAGUCACAUAAAGGUCACUCUCAAAGUGGGGUGAAUUUUACCAACGCAAUCAUUUCCGGC